UCCCUGGUGGUUGAAUGGUUAGGAAUCCACACUUUCACUGCUGAGGGACCAGGUUCAAUUCCUGGUCAGGGAA
RNAcentral lists this transfer RNA (73 nucleotides) under Ovis aries (sheep). It matches the Rfam family "tRNA". Rfam says of the family: Transfer RNA (tRNA) molecules are approximately 80 nucleotides in length. Their secondary structure includes four short double-helical elements and three loops (D, anti-codon, and T loops). Further hydrogen bonds mediate the characteristic L-shaped molecular structure. tRNAs have two regions of fundamental functional importance: the anti-codon, which is responsible for specific mRNA codon recognition, and the 3' end, to which the tRNAs corresponding amino acid is attached (by aminoacyl-tRNA synthetases). tRNAs cope with the degeneracy of the genetic code in two manners: having more than one tRNA (with a specific anti-codon) for a particular amino acid; and 'wobble' base-pairing, i.e. permitting non-standard base-pairing at the 3rd anti-codon position. Lineage: Eukaryota; Metazoa; Chordata; Mammalia; Artiodactyla; Bovidae. The record is from Rfam by way of RNAcentral.